RNAcentral lists this ribosomal RNA (488 nucleotides) under uncultured bacterium. RNAcentral describes it as "partial 16S ribosomal RNA". It matches the Rfam family "Bacterial small subunit ribosomal RNA", at positions 28 to 507 of the family's 1533-position model. The record is from RNAcentral.
GACGAACGCUGGCGGCGUGCUUAACACAUGCAAGUCGAACGCGCCUGUCCUCUGGGUUUCUGGGGGGUGGGUGAGUGGCGAACGGGUGAGUAACACGUGAGUAACCUGCCUCCUUCUUCGGGAUAACGGUCUGAAAGGGCUGCUAAUACCGGGUAUUCACUGGUCUCCGCAUGGGGUCUGGUGGAAAGGUUUUUUUCUGGUGGGGGAUGGGCUCGGGGCCUAUCAGCUUGUUGGUGGGGUGAUGGCCCACCAAGGCUUUGACGGGUAGCCGGCCUGAGAGGGUGAACGGGAACAUUGGGACGGAGCAGCGGCCCAGACUACUACGGGGGGGAGAAGUGGGGAAUAUUGGAGAAUGGGCGCAAGCCUGAUGCAGCGACGGCGCGUGAGGGAUGGGGGCCUUCGAGUCGUGAACCUCUUUCGGACGUGGUCAAGCCGCAACGUGGGUCGUGGUGAGGGUAGUGGGUAAAGAAGCGCCGGCUAACUACGUG